CUCGUAGGCGGUUUGUCGCGUCGGGAGUGAAAUCCAGGUGCUUAACACCUGGCUUGCUUUCGAUACGGGCAGACUGGAGGCAUGCAGGGGAGAACGGAAUUCCUGGUGUAGCGGUGAAAUGCGCAGAUAUCAGGAGGAACACCGGUGGCGAAGGCGGUUCUCUGGGCAUGUUCUGACGCUGAGGAGCGAAAGUGUGGGGAGCGAACA
RNAcentral lists this ribosomal RNA (207 nucleotides) under uncultured bacterium. RNAcentral's name for it is "partial 16S ribosomal RNA". It matches the Rfam family "Bacterial small subunit ribosomal RNA", at positions 568 to 774 of the family's 1533-position model. The record is from RNAcentral.